RNAcentral lists this ribosomal RNA (253 nucleotides) under uncultured bacterium. RNAcentral's name for it is "partial 16S ribosomal RNA". It matches the Rfam family "Bacterial small subunit ribosomal RNA", at positions 524 to 776 of the family's 1533-position model. The record is from RNAcentral.
UACGUAGGGACCAAGCGUUGUCCGGAAUCAUUGGGCGUAAAGCGCGUGUAGGCGGCUUGUUAAGUCGGGUGUGAAAGCCCUCAGCUCAACUGAGGAAGGGCGCCCGAAACUGGCGAGCUUGAGUGUCGGAGAGGAUGGCGGAAUACCCCAAGUAGAGGUGAAAUUCGUAGAUAUGGGGUGGAACACCGGUGGCGAAGGCGGCCAUCUGGACGACAACUGACGCUGAGGCACGAAAGCGUGGGGAGCAAACAGG